Molecule: small RNA, 1016 nt
Filed under: Histoplasma ohiense
Lineage: Eukaryota; Fungi; Ascomycota; Eurotiomycetes; Onygenales; Ajellomycetaceae
Description: hypothetical lncRNA
Source: RNAcentral
CUGGGCUGCGAAGUCCGACUCUGCCACCUCCUCGUGGUGCAGCCUGGUAACAUCAUCUAGUGAUGAUGGCCAAGAGCAGAGCGGUUUGUUAUGAGUGUCUGAUUCUUAGUGAACUCAGCAUUCAUUGGCCUUCAGGCCUUGAUCUUUGCUCCCUGUGAGCAAUCACCCUGCCACUGCUCCCUGCGAGCAAUCGUCCUGCUGCUGCUCGCUACGAGCAAUCGCCCUGCCGCUGCUCCCUGUGAGCAAUCGCCCUGCCUCUGCCCUGCCUCCGCCCUGCCUCUGCUCUCUGUGAGAGCAAUCACCCUGCCGCUGCUCACUACGAGCAAUCGUCCUGCUGCUGCUCCCUGCGAGCAAUCACCCUGCCGCUGCUCCCUGCGAGCAAUCGUCCUGCUGCUGCUCCCUGCGAGCAAUCGCCCUGCCGCUGCUCCCUGUGAGCAAUCGCCCUGCCUCUGCCCUGCCUCCGCCCUCCCUCUGCUCUCUGUGAGAGCAAUCACCCUGCUGCUGCUCACUACGAGCAAUCGCCCUGCUGCUGCUCCCUGCGAGCAAUCGCCCUGCCGCUGCUCCCUGCGAGCAAUCGUCCUGCUGCUGCUCGCUACGAGCAAUCGCCCUGCCGCUGCUCCCUGUGAGCAAUCGCCCUGCCUCCGCCCUGCCUCCGCCCUGCCUCUGCUCUCUGUGAGAGCAAUCACCCUGCCGCUGCUCACUACGAGCAAUCGCCCUGCCGCUGCUCCCUGCGAGCAAUCACCCUGCCGCUGCUCACUGCGAGCAAUCGCCCUGCCGUAGCACUUGUGUGCUUUGAUUAUCUCUACCAUGAAUGGCCAUACGUCGGGCCAGAAGUGGAUGAACAGUCUAUAUAGACUGAGUCUUCUCAAGAGUUGCUAUCUGGAUCCUGUGUCUAUCAUUACUGUGUAUAUAGAGAUUUCUCCAGCGUAGCACGUCCCCAUGCCCUUCGGGAGGCUUUUGAAGUGCAGGCAUUGCCUGUGUCUUCUCUGGGACGCUAAACCAAUACAUACAUACAU